Molecule: ribosomal RNA, 468 nt
Filed under: uncultured bacterium
Lineage: Bacteria
Description: partial 16S ribosomal RNA
Rfam family: Bacterial small subunit ribosomal RNA
Source: RNAcentral
GACGAACGCUGGCGGCGUGCUUAACACAUGCAAGUCGAACGGAAAGGCCCUGCUUUUGUGGGGUGCUCGAGUGGCGAACGGGUGAGUAACACGUGAGUAACCUGCCCUUGACUUUGGGAUAACUUCAGGAAACUGGGGCUAAUACCGGAUAGGAGCUCCUGCUGCAUGGUGGGGGUUGGAAAGUUUCGGCGGUUGGGGAUGGACUCGCGGCUUAUCAGCUUGUUGGUGGGGUAGUGGCUUACCAAGGCUUCGACGGGUAGCCGGCCUGGGAGGGUGACCGGCCACAUUGGGACUGAGAUACGGCCCAGACUCCUACGGGAGGCAGCAGUGGGGAAUAUUGCACAAGGGGCGGAAGCCUGAUGCAGCAACGCCGCGUGCGGGAUGACGGCCUUCGGGUUGUAAACCGCUUUCGCCUGUGACGAAGCGUGAGUGACGGUAAUGGGUAAAGAAGCACCGGCUAACUACGUG